UAUGUGAUCGUCUCUCGCAUAUCAAUAAGCGGAGGAAAAGAAACUAACAAGGAUUCCCCUAGUAACGGCGAGUGAAGCGGGAAGAGCUCAAAUUUGAAAUCUUAAAGGGUUUCCCUUUACGAAUUGUAGUUUAAAGAAGUGUUUUCUGUUGAGGUUUUGGUAAAAGUUCUUUGGAAUAGGACAUCAUAGAGGGUGAGAAUCCCGUAUUUGACCUUUACUUUCAACUUUGUGAUACACUUUCAAAGAGUCGGAUUGUUUGGGAAUGCAGUCCAAAAUGGGUGGUAAAUUUCAUCUAAAGCUAAAUAUUGGCGAGAGACCGAUAGCGAACAAGUACCGUGAGGGAAAGAUGAAAAGAACUUUGAAAAGAGAGUUAAACAGUACGUGAAAUUGUCGAAAGGGAAGCGUUUGACACCAGUGUUGUUUUUCUGAAAAUCAAUUAAAGAACUGUUUAUGCUAAGUUGUUUAGACUUUAUCAGCUAACUGUUUAGUUUUGAGCUUUUCUUUAAUGCACUUUUCAGUUAACAAGUCAACAUCAAUUUCUUUUGCUGUAAAAAAGCUUGAGGAAGGUGGCUUGAGAUUCGUCUUAAGUGUUUAUAGCCUCUUGCCUAUGCAGUCGGAGAGAUUGAGGUCUGCAGCGUAGAUCCUUCGGGGCUAAAUGCAUUUGUGCUAAGUUAUAGCAUUUUAUAGACAACUUGUUGACUAUGAUUUGUCUUGUAGCUUACUCGCUUAUGUUAUUUUACCUACGCUUAGGAUAUUGACACACGCGCGUGCUCG
Molecule: ribosomal RNA, 774 nt
Filed under: uncultured Neocallimastigales
Lineage: Eukaryota; Fungi; Neocallimastigomycota; Neocallimastigomycetes; Neocallimastigales
Description: partial large subunit ribosomal RNA
Rfam family: Eukaryotic large subunit ribosomal RNA
Source: RNAcentral